AUACGUAGGGGGCGAGCGUUAUCCGGAUUUAUUGGGCGUAAAGCGUGUGUAGGCGGUUUGUUAAGUUUAAGAUUAAAGCCCGAGGCUUAACCUCGGUUCGUCUUAAAAACUGGCAGACUUGAGUGCAGUAGAGGCAAGUGGAAUUUCUAGUGUAGCGGUUAAAUGCGUAGAUAUUAGAAGGAACACCAGUGGCGAAGGGGGCUUGCUGGGCUGUUACUGACGCUGAGACACGAAAGCGUGGGGAGAAAAUAGGAUUAGAUACCCUAGUAGUCCACGCCGUAAACGAUGAGUACUAAGUGUCGGGUAACCGGUGCUGAAGUUAACACAUUAAGUACUCCGCCUGAGUAGUACGGUCGCAAGGCUGAAACUCAAAUGAAUUGACGGGG
Molecule: ribosomal RNA, 386 nt
Filed under: uncultured bacterium
Lineage: Bacteria
Description: partial 16S ribosomal RNA
Rfam family: Bacterial small subunit ribosomal RNA
Source: RNAcentral